CUACGGGAGGCAGCAGUGGGGAAUCUUGCGCAUGGGGGGAAAGCCGGUCGCGCCCUGGCCGCGGGUGUGAAAAAGGCCUUCGGGUUGUAAAGCACUUUCAAUUGGGAGGAAAUGCUCACGACUAAUACUCGUGAGCUGUGACGUUACCUUUAAAAGAAGCACCGGCUAACUCCGUGCCAGCAGCCGCGGUAAUACGGAGGGUGCGAGCGUUGAUCGGAAUUACUGGGCGUAAAGAUCGCGUAUGUGGUCUGUUAACUCGGAUGUGAAAGCCCCGGGCUCAACCUGAGAACGGGUUCCAAUACUGGCAAACUCCACUGGGGGAGAGGGAGGGAGAAUUCCUCUUGAAGAAUUGAAAUGCGUAAAGAUGUGGAGGAAUACCACUGGGAAACGCGGGCUCCUGGCUCUGCGCUGACACUGAGGUGCGAAACCCUGGGGAGCCAACCCGAUUACAAACCCUGGUAGUUCACGCCGGAGACAAAGUCUACUAGCUGUAGGGGUACUUGAGACCUUUAUAGCCCGGCUAACGCAGUAAGUAGACCGCCUGGGGAGUACGGCCACGGAGUCAACAAUCUGAU
This 575-nucleotide ribosomal RNA is filed under the name uncultured bacterium. Its description in RNAcentral is "bacterial SSU rRNA". It matches the Rfam family "Bacterial small subunit ribosomal RNA", at positions 339 to 906 of the family's 1533-position model. The record is from RNAcentral.